This 1218-nucleotide long non-coding RNA is filed under the name Homo sapiens (human). RNAcentral's name for it is "HSALNT0054256". Lineage: Eukaryota; Metazoa; Chordata; Mammalia; Primates; Hominidae. The record is from RNAcentral.
GCGAAGCGGCAGCGGAGGCGGCGGGCCGACGCCGGUCAAGCCCGCGCUGCUUCCUCCAGAAGAGUCGUCCCCACAGCUCCGGAAGUGCUUGGCGCCGUUGCGUCACUUCCGGAUCGGGGUCGACCCACGGUCGCUCGGGUCGCGACAGGCUCCCGGCUAGAGGGCCUGUUUAGCGCCGCCUCCUUGAAACUUAGCGCUCUGACCCAGAGUCUGACCAGGGUACGGCAGGCGCCGACCGCGUCUGGAGCCACUAUUCGCCUACCAGCGUCUCCCGUCGAGAUGUUUUUAACCAGCGCGUUUCUCACCGGCUUCUCAUUUCACUGUUUGUACUCCGGGAUCGGGCACGGAGAAGACAUCCUGGCGUCAGUGGAGCAGAUAACCAUUGUUUCUCGGCCGCUAUCUGGUCAGAGGGGAGCUGGGCCGGGAAAUUCUGCCUACACCCCGAGGCGGUCGCAGGGUGGCCCCAGAGCCGCAACCACACCAGGCUUUCGCUUCCCCUGCCGAGGCCUCGUUCGCCGCGCAGUUCUCCGACUUACGGUCACCGUGCAAGAUUGCAUCUUAACUGCCUUGCUUGCAGUUUCUUUUCACAGUAUAGGAGUUGUCAUCAUGACUUCCAGUUACCUUCUGGGACCGGUUGUCAAAUGAUGUGGCUAGAGACGGAGGCUCACUCAGAUUGUUGCUGCACCACAAUGGAAAUGCCAGUAUGAAGCCGCUGAUGUUAGGAAGGCUCCAGGUUGUGCAAUUCCAUAGACAACAAAUCAAAUCAUUUCCAACCAUACUGGAGUCGCGUAUAUACAUAUUCAAGACACCUGUGCAGGCCGGGCGCGGUGGCUCAAGCCUGUAAUCCCAGCACUUUGGGAGGCCGAGGCGAGUGGAUCACGAGCCAGGAUGGUAAUUUUUGUAUUUUUAGUAGAGACAAGGUUUCAUCAUGUUGGCCAGGAUGGUCUGGAUCUCUUGACUCCUUGAUCCGCCCACCUCGGCCUCCCAAAGUUCUGGGAUUACAGGCGUGAGCCACUGCUCCUGGUCUCCUUUGUUUCUUUACUUCUCUAAUAAACUUGCUUUCACUUUACCAAAAAAAAUGAAAUAAAUCAUACUGGGUGGCAGGGCAUGGUGGCUCAAGCCUGUAAUCCCAGCACUUUGGGAAGCCAAGGUGAGAGGAUUGCUUGAGCCCAGGAGUUGGAGACCAGCCUGGGCAACAUAGUGAGAUUCCAUGUCUAC